AUAUGUUACCUAUUGUACUGUUGUAUCAAGGUAACAAGUUACAGAUGUAUUAUGAUCUAUAAUUACAUUUUAGGUAAUUUCAGUUUGUACAUUUUAUCCAUUAGUGAGGUGGUCACACUGCAAUGGCAUUCAAGUCGAAUUCUUUCAUUGAUAUAAUAAAAAACAUAAUUGUUAGUUUUUUUCGCUGCUAUUUAUUUUUCAAUUGCAUUAAGGUGC
Molecule: non-coding RNA, 216 nt
Organism: Pelobates cultripes (western spadefoot toad)
Lineage: Eukaryota; Metazoa; Chordata; Amphibia; Anura; Pelobatidae
Source: the annotation of a GenBank genome assembly